This 158-nucleotide signal recognition particle RNA is filed under the name Lingulaulax polyedra. RNAcentral describes it as "Lingulodinium polyedra partial Protozoan signal recognition particle RNA". It matches the Rfam family "Metazoan signal recognition particle RNA", at positions 96 to 240 of the family's 299-position model. From Rfam's summary of the family: The signal recognition particle (SRP) is a universally conserved ribonucleoprotein. The record is from RNAcentral. Lineage: Eukaryota; Dinophyceae; Gonyaulacales; Lingulodiniaceae.
GCCCUGCUGCUGAGUGUGGAUGGUUCUCCCUGACCAAGCUGGUAGUCUGCAAGGGUCCUGGAGUGUAAACUUCAACACCCUGGCAGUUAAAUCCCUGGGGAUCGGCUCAGGCUGGCAACAGAGCAAGCAAAACUAGGAGCUACCCGCAGUGGUGGGAC